GUAACCUAAUUUUACAAAGCUCUCUCGUCUCUCCCUCUCCGUCACGGCGUCGACGUCAUUCACUCACUCACUCUCUCGUGUUACUGUAUCUUAAGGCCUUGGACACACUUGGCAACACCAAGUGGGGAGUUAAUAGAAGAUUACUUAAUUAAUGUUGUGGAGUCCCUCUAGGCUGACGGAGGUGUUAUUGUGACUGAAGGUGAACAAUUGCUGCUCUCUUUUGGUGUUGUCAUUGAAAGAAUUUGGUAGCUGAGAAGUAAGCAUUUAACUGGAGUCAAUCACAGAAAAAGUGACUCGAAAGAUGAUGACAUCCUUCAGCCAGAUGCAGUCCCAGUUUCAGUCUCAGAUGCAAUUACAGGGACUUGCACUACCUCCAGAGCCAGAGGUUGGUCCCUCAGAUCCUCGUGUCAGCACAAAAGAGAGUUGUGUUGCUCCCUCAGGGAACGAUCCAGGGACGGGUGACUCAGACAAAUGCGGGCUAUACAUUGAAGAAAAUCCUUCCCGCCUGGUUGCCCUAGGAAGACUUUAUGAGGGAUCCACAACAGUUCACAACAUCCCUUUGUUGCAUGGCCAAGUCAAGGUUGGUGUUGAGGAGGUUAAAGAUGCAGAGGCUCUCGUUCCUGUACCCACUGACGAGGUUACCUCAGUGGGGCAGGCAUUUAACACCUUCCUUGCUUGGCCAACACAACUUGUGAAGCGUUUAUCAGAAUAGACAGCUGUGUCUCCAGCAAAACCUCCAGAAAGCCCGGAUGAAGAGGUCGAUGAUCCCUUGUACCUGAUGACAUUGAUCAUCCCACAACUGUUUUUGAAGCCUCUCCAGGUUAUGUGGGAUGCUACCAUAUUCGAGGUGUUUAAUCAAAACUUCCCGUUGUAUAUAAAGUACGAAGAUCUCUCUGAAAUUGCACACGGUGAUCAAUGUCUUAGCAUAUCUGUUAUACAGUUGUGGAUUCUGUAAAUCAUUUUAGAUUACUAUUAAUUACCAAAGUAAUUGUUUUAAAUUCAUACAUAAUUAACUUUGACUUAACAA
Molecule: long non-coding RNA, 1027 nt
Organism: Glycine soja
Lineage: Eukaryota; Viridiplantae; Streptophyta; Magnoliopsida; Fabales; Fabaceae
Exons: 5
Source: RefSeq, a predicted model, not a curated record